AAUGUGGGAGUCCACUGCAAUAAUCCAGGAGAGAAAUCAUGUGAGCUUGAGAAGGAAUCAGAUUCUGCAUAUAUUUCCAAGUUAACAUGAACAAGAUUUUCUGAAAGACUGCUAUGGAGUCUGAGAAAAAAUGUCAAAGAUUGAGGACAUGAAGAGGAAAGAACUGACAGAGGAGGUGAAGAAAGGUGAUCAGGAAGAGCCAUCAAAGUGUUAUCCUGGAAUUCAAGUGAAGACAGUGUUUCAAAGUGGAAAUGAACAGUGUCCUGUAACCCUCAGAGUGAGACUAGAGUCAGAAUGCAGGCUUUUCUCAUUUGAAAUCUCAAGGUAAGUCCAGGUCCUUACCUCCACCUAAAAGUUCUGCCAUCAAGGAACAUCUGCUCAUUAUCUUCUGUUCACACAUCAAAUGACUUCAAUGUGAUCCCUGGAUGUUCUCCAAAGAGCUGAAGGGAAAUAAAUAUUCUUUCUUUAUCACCAAAUACUUCAACUGCAGAGUGAUUGUGCUACCAAGGCCUGAAACUUCGGAAAAACCUGCAUAACACAAAAUAUAAAAUAUGCCACAGAGAGGAUCCAGAGAGCCCAUCUCCGGUCAGUUAUCUGUAUUUGUAUGUCAACUACAGCAUCAAAAAGCAUAGGCAUGGAUACUAAGGACCCCCUCUGUACACCAACGCCAGUCCAAAGGACAGUGUGUCACUGUGAACUGGAAAUUCAUCUCUCUUCUUCAAUUUUUUUCUACCUACUUUAUGCUUUAUCUCUAAGUUGAGGCUGUUUAUGGCCUCAUCCUCAAUUACCUUGUCCCUCAUUACUCCCAGUUAAUGGAGAUUAAGCUUUGUAUCAUGACUUCCUAACUAAAAUUGAAAUCACAAGACAUCACAUAAAUAAAGUUACAAAUGGAUUAGAUAAAC
Molecule: long non-coding RNA, 902 nt
Filed under: Homo sapiens (human)
Lineage: Eukaryota; Metazoa; Chordata; Mammalia; Primates; Hominidae
Description: long intergenic non-protein coding RNA 2790
Source: RNAcentral